This 362-nucleotide unclassified non-coding RNA is filed under the name fungal sp. Its description in RNAcentral is "partial internal transcribed spacer region". The stretch from base 1 to 46 matches the Rfam family "Eukaryotic small subunit ribosomal RNA", at positions 1786 to 1831 of the family's 1831-position model. Lineage: Eukaryota; Fungi. The record is from RNAcentral.
AAGUCGUAACAAGGUUUCCGUAGGUGAACCUGCGGAAGGAUCAUUAACACGUAUCCAAACGUUAAACCCCCCUGUGAACCUUCACCUGUACUCGUACGUCCGUUAGAAAAAGCAGCAAUCCCUGGUAAAUCAUCGCCGAACAGUUUUCGAUUCAGGGACGUCUGCAAGGAGCGUGCAUGUUGUGCAAAGUGUCAUUACCUGUGUAAGGAUGACGCAGUCACGAUCGUUGGAGGCCCACACGGCCGACGACCGGGUCGCUGGGCGCAAGCCCCCCUAUAACAAACCCCCUGCCAAUCGCGGCCGCGAUAAUACGCAGUCGACCAAAAACCGAACAACUGUUAACAAUGGAUAUCUUGGUUCUC